This 387-nucleotide long non-coding RNA is filed under the name Physcomitrium patens. RNAcentral's name for it is "long non-coding RNA (PPAT_LNC012654)". Lineage: Eukaryota; Viridiplantae; Streptophyta; Bryopsida; Funariales; Funariaceae. The record is from RNAcentral.
UGGUGAGAAGGAAUCCUAUUAUACAUAAGUAGAGGUCAAAAUGGAUAGAUGUGAUAAAAAAAAAGAUGUAGAAGAACUAAUAAAAAAAAAAAAAAAUGCCCCAAGUAGCAGAAAAGUUAUUCCAAAAGUUAAACCAAUAAGCAACAUAAGGCAAGAAGCACAACUUUUUAUUUUACAUCCAUAAGCUAGUGUUCUUUUUUCAAAAGAAAAGUGGAAGGAGAGAAUGAGCAACACUAAGUGUAAAGAGAAAAUAGACGAUACCAAGGAAAAAAAUAAGGCACCAACUUAUAAACUUCAAUCUGAUAUUAAAUCCUCAAUUAAUAUAAAAGAUAUUUUAAAAGAUAUUAUUUUAAAUGCUAAGAUUAAGUUUACUUUGAGAGAAGCUUU